GUGAGGAAUAUUGGUCAAUGGACGAGAGUCUGAACCAGCCAAGUCGCGUGAAGGAAGACGGUUCUAUGAAUUGUAAACUUCUUUUGUGCAGGAAUAAAGUGGGUUACGUGUAACCUUUUGUAUGUACUGUACGAAUAAGGAUCGGCUAACUCCGUGCCAGCAGCCGCGGUAAUACGGAGGAUCCGAGCGUUAUCCGGAUUUAUUGGGUUUAAAGGGUGCGUAGGUGGAUUGAUAAGUCAGCGGUGAAAGUUUGCAGCUUAACUGUAAAAUUGCCGUUGAAACUGUCGGUCUUGAGUGCAAAUGAGGUAGGCGGAAUGUGUUGUGUAGCGGUGAAAUGCUUAGAUAUAACACAGAACUCCGAUUGUGAAGGCAGCUUACUGGGAUGCAACUGACACUGAUGCACGAAAGCGUGGGUAUCAAACAGGAUUAGAAACCCCAGUAGUCC
Molecule: ribosomal RNA, 445 nt
Filed under: uncultured bacterium
Lineage: Bacteria
Description: partial 16S ribosomal RNA
Rfam family: Bacterial small subunit ribosomal RNA
Source: RNAcentral